Molecule: ribosomal RNA, 497 nt
Filed under: uncultured bacterium
Lineage: Bacteria
Description: partial 16S ribosomal RNA
Rfam family: Bacterial small subunit ribosomal RNA
Source: RNAcentral
GAUGAACGCUGGCUGCGUGCCUAAUACAUGCAAGUCGAGCGAACGGACGAGAAGCUUUCUUCUCUGAUGUUAGCGGCGGACGGGUGAGUGACACGUGGAUAACCUACCUAUCAGACUGGGGUAACUUCGCGAAACCGGAGCUAAUACCGGAUAAUAUUUUGAACCGCAUGGUUCAAAAGUGAGAGACGGUCUUGCUGUCACUUAUAGAUGGAUCCGCGCUGCAUUAGCUAGUUGCUAAGGUACCGGCUUACCAAGGCAACGAUGCAUAGCCGACCUGAGAGGGUGAUCGGCCACACUAGAACUGAGACACGGUCCAGACUCCUACGGGAGGCAGCAGUAGGGAAUCUGCCGCAAUGGGCGAAAGCCUGACGGAGCAACGCCGCGUGAGUGAUGAAGGUCUUCGGAUCGUAAAACUCUGUUAUUAGGGAAGAACAUAUGUGUAAGUAACUGUGCACAUCUUGACGGUACCUAAUCAGAAAGCCACGGCUAACUACGUG